This is a long non-coding RNA of Zea mays, 122 nucleotides long. RefSeq lists it as uncharacterized. The transcript is spliced from 2 exons. Lineage: Eukaryota; Viridiplantae; Streptophyta; Magnoliopsida; Poales; Poaceae. The record is from RefSeq and is a predicted model, not a curated record.
AUGUUGUUAUUAGAGACAUAUUUUGCUCAAGAUUUUUGCACAUACGUUGUUAUGACUGGCAAUGUGUACAGUCGGAGGUCUAAAAGGCCGACUGGCCAGCCCAUUGUAAGGGACGGCGCAGA